This 643-nucleotide ribosomal RNA is filed under the name Methanocella conradii. RNAcentral describes it as "bacterial SSU rRNA". It matches the Rfam family "Archaeal small subunit ribosomal RNA", at positions 339 to 981 of the family's 1478-position model. The record is from RNAcentral. Lineage: Archaea; Methanobacteriati; Methanobacteriota; Methanomicrobia; Methanocellales; Methanocellaceae.
GCGCGAAAACUCUACAAUGCAGGAAAUCUGCGAUAGGGGGACAUCGAGUGGCGUCUACAUUAGACGCCUGUCCAGCCGUCUAAAAAACGGUUGUUAGCAAGGGCCGGGUAAGACCGGUGCCAGCCGCCGCGGUAAUACCGGCGGCUCGAGUGGUGGCCGAUAUUAUUGAGUCUAAAGGGUCCGUAGCCGGCUUCGUAAGUCCCCUGGGAAAUCCAGCGGCUUAACCGUUGGGCGCUCAUGGGAUACUACGAGGCUUGGGACUGGGAGAGGCGAGAGGUACUCGAGGGGUAGGGGUGAAAUCCUGUAAUCCUUCGGGGACCACCGGUGGCGAAGGCGUCUCGCCAGAACAGGUCCGACGGUGAGGGACGAAAGCUAGGGGCACGAACCGGAUUAGAUACCCGGGUAGUCCUAGCCGUAAACGAUGCCCGCUAGGUGUCACGAUAGUCGUGAAUUAUCGUGGUGCCGUAGGGAAGCCGCGAAGCGGGCCACUUGGGAAGUACGACCGCAAGGUUGAAACUUAAAGGAAUUGGCGGGGGAGCACCACAACGGGUGGAGCCUGCGGUUUAAUUGGAUUCAACGCCGGGAAGCUUACCGGGAUCGACAGUUGGAUGAAGGCCAGGCUGAAGACCUUGCCGGACUAGCU